AUUAAAUUCAAAUUAGAAAAAGAAAAAGAAAAAGAAAAAGAAAAAAAAGUAACUUCUCCUUCAAAUCGUAAAUGUUUACUUAAAGAAAAAGAAAACAGUACAAACGGUCAGAAAAAAUCAGUUAGCAUAAAUAAUAAUAUACUAGAACAAAAACGCAAGGAGGGUGAUAAGUUAGCAGGGACUGCUAUUCCUAAUCUAAUAAAAACGAUCGAAAUUUAUAAAAACAGAGCUAUAGAAGAAGAAAGAAGAAAAAGGCUUUUAGUUCAAAAAUAUGAGAAAAUGUUAAGAAAUGUUAAAAAGAAGCAUAUGCAAGAAAUCAAUGAAAUCAAAAAUAACAUUCUCAUGGAUGUUGAUUUUAUAAUACAGAAGUAUAGAAAUAUAUCAAUGGAAUUACUAGAAAUUAGUAAAGAGAAAGAAAAAGAAAAAGUAGAAGAGAAAAAAAAAAUAUCUGAAAUAUGUGUUAUGGCUUGUAAAAGGUUUGAAGAGGAUGUAAAGAAAAAAGCUACGGAAUCUAUACAGGAACAUGAAUCUGAAAUGCUUAAUUCUUUAUACGCUAUUAAAAGAGAAAAAGAAGAUAUCGAAAAAAAAUACAUAGAGUUAAAAAACAAGAAGGAAAAAAACCGUUGUAAUGAAAAAAGACAAACUGUGUUUGAACAUAAAAUGAAAAAAGAACAAGCCUUAAUUAGAGACCACAAAAAUAAUAUGCCAUUUGAAAAAGACCAGCAAAACCAUAUAAUAAAGAGUAUAUAUACAAAGGUCGACUCACAAAUCAAAACGUAUGAAGAGAACAUUGUGAAAGUAUUUCACAACAUACUUGUGAAAAAUAACAUCAAUUUAGGUAUUGAUGAAUUGUCACAACAAAUUAAAGACGUAAUGAUAAAACAAUGUGGAAGCUAGUGCUUAAGCAUUGACAUGCGACUUUAAAUAUUAAAAAAAUGAAAUAAAAUAAAAUAAUGUACAUUUAUAUAAUACUAA
RNAcentral lists this long non-coding RNA (975 nucleotides) under Piliocolobus tephrosceles (Ugandan red Colobus). RNAcentral's name for it is "lncRNA (ENSPTEG00000010242.1)". Lineage: Eukaryota; Metazoa; Chordata; Mammalia; Primates; Cercopithecidae. The record is from RNAcentral.